Long non-coding RNA from Phragmites australis (common reed), 1590 nucleotides. RefSeq lists it as uncharacterized. The transcript has 6 exons. The record is from RefSeq and is a predicted model, not a curated record. Lineage: Eukaryota; Viridiplantae; Streptophyta; Magnoliopsida; Poales; Poaceae.
CGUCGUCGUUCCGCCGAUGGCCGUUUCGCUCCCGGGUUUUCCGCUCGAUUCCUGUUCCACUCCCCCGAUGCGCCGCCAAUUCCCGUUCCCGAUUCCUGCCGCAAUCCUCAUCCACCCCUCCCUCUCUCCCCUCCUCCCACUCCCUCAUCUUCUCGCGCCGCAGCGGCAGCAGCAGCCGUAACGCGCGGCAGCCCCCAUCUUGCGUGACCUCACUUCCCCGAUCUCAUCCCACUGUGGCAUCUCCCGCUUCACCUUGGGCGCGUCCCCCGUCGCCGCCCCUCCACCUCACUACCGCCCCCGCCCAUCUUCACCCUCGACGACCGCGUCUCCGCAGCCGACUUCUCCCCUGACCCCACCACCUCCGACCUCCUCCCCGUCGCGCCCUCCCCUCCCCCCGCACCACCGCCAGCCGCUCGCUGUCAUGAGAUCCAUCCCCAUCCCCAUCCGCGCGCAACCAGCCACACCAGGGCGCUCAUCCCUCCACUUCCAGCUCGCCAAUGCCGGUGUGGCAGCGCUUGUCGCCGACCCGGCCCUGGCAUUCAUAGUCUGCCAUCGCUCUCUCUCUCUCUCUCUGGUUCGUGUUCUCGCAAGAUUUUGGGGUGUUGACGUCGUGUGCGUGUGUGACCGCAGGGAGGAGGCCCAUACGGGAAGCAGGUGACGUGCGGGUAGGACCUCACCGGCAAGGACUUCAGCGGCCAGACGCUCAUCAAGCAGGACUUCAAGACGGUACUGCGAUUGCAAAUCUGACCUUGCCUUGUGCUAUUUUCUCACGCUUUGAUAAGAUCGCAUGCUUCUCCUUGUGAGGAAACGCAUGAAAGUUUCGAACUUUCUAUGCACAGAAAAGCAUGUGAUUUGUGGUUAGAGUCUUGUGUAUGAUUGCUUGGCGAUUCUUGACCUUCUCUUGCUGCAGUCUAUACUGAGGUAGGCCAACUUCAAAGGUGCGAACCUGCUCGGCGCGAGCUUCUUGGAUGCAGACCUCACAAGUUGUGCAUUUGUUUGUCAUCCUCGAAAAAGACCGCAACCAGCACUUUCAGAGAUUCUUCCUGAUUGGAAAGCUUGUGAUUUUGGGUUUUGGUUGUGUGACUUACUCGGUAUGUUUGCUGAUGAAUUCAGGUGCUGAUCUUAGAGGCGCGACUUCUCGCUGGCAAAUUUGUCAUAGGGUUGCUAAGUUUGCAUUGUUAUAGGUUAUUGUGAGGGAGGAGACAUGGCUGAGACUAUCAAAAGAGCCAAAUGGUAACUAUUUUUCUGAGGAGAAAAUUUGCAAGUGGCUUGUGCAACUUCUCAUGGCUCUUGAUUAUUUGCAUGCAAAUCACAUUCUUCAUCGAGAUGUGAGGGUGGUAGGAACAUCAAGUUAUAUGUGCCAAGAACUUUUUGCUGAUAUACCAUAUGGUACCAAGUCCGAUAUUUGGUCUCUAGGAUGUUGCAUAUAUGAAAUGACUGCUCUCAGGCCCACAUUUAAAGCUUUUGUAAGUCCCUGACUUACUUUUUGGGGAUGUUGUAGCAAGAACCAAGAAAGAGGUAACUUUCUUAUUGUUAUGGAGAUUGUGAUCUUACUGCCCUGUGGAUGACCUGCAAUAAAUCUUUAUUUCC